Molecule: ribosomal RNA, 253 nt
Filed under: uncultured bacterium
Lineage: Bacteria
Description: partial 16S ribosomal RNA
Rfam family: Bacterial small subunit ribosomal RNA
Source: RNAcentral
UACGGAGGGGGCUAGCGUUGUUCGGAAUUACUGGGCGUAAAGCGCACGUAGGCGGCUUUGCAAGUUAGAGGUGAAAGCCCAGGGCUUAACCCUGGAAUUGCCUUUAAAACUGCAUCGCUAGAAUUGUGGAGAGGUAAGUGGAAUUCCGAGUGUAGAGGUGAAAUUCGUAGAUAUUCGGAAGAACACCAGUGGCGAAGGCGGCUCACUGGACCGGUUCUGACGCUGAAGCGCGAAAGCGUGGGGAGCAAACGGG